Brienomyrus brachyistius is the source of this 1396-nucleotide long non-coding RNA. RefSeq lists it as uncharacterized. The record is from RefSeq and is a predicted model, not a curated record. Lineage: Eukaryota; Metazoa; Chordata; Actinopteri; Osteoglossiformes; Mormyridae. The transcript has 4 exons.
UUAAAUUAAGAAAAAAAAAUAAUAUUUUUUUAAGGAAAUGAGUGCAAUUUUUAGGCUUAAUUUGAGGAACCGUUUAGGCUAAAAAUUUGAGGAAAAAAGGCUUCAUAUUUAUUUUAAGAGAAUUGGUCCAAUUAUCUGGGUUUGAUUGAGUCACCUUCAUUUGAAUCUCAACAAUGGCUGUGGUCAGACGGCGUUUUGAAGGAGCAGACGAUCAGUGUAAAAUAUUAAGAGCAACUUCUGAGAUGACAAUGGAGCUUGUGGUGAAAGAAAAAAUGUCAAAAACCCUUGCUCUCCGAAGACAUGAGGUGGUUGAAUUGUGCCCAACUUGCAGAAUUUAAAGAUCACUGGCCUGCUCUGUUUGACAUUCUCCAGAUUAAUGAAGAGUUUAGGAGAAUUACUACUCUGCACCUUGAGCCAACAUUUAUUAAGAUGUUGGAUUACUACACUCCUAAACUUUUCACAAUAUUUUCCUGCAAAGGAGGAGCACUCGGACAGAUUUUGAAGAAGAAAACGGGUGCCAUACAGCAGACCUCACAUCAAAACAUAGAACAGACAAGAGAUGUUGUCCUCCGUUGCUUGGUCUAUUACUUGGGUGAAAAGGAGGAAGACCUCAUCCAGGAGUACAAUGUAAGUGUCUAAAACUAAUUCAGAUAUUUGUUUGCAGAAAACUGCAAUUAGCAUUUGUUUUCCUUUACAAAAACAGAAAUACAUCUUAAACAUAAGUACGUUCCUCAUGCAAAAACAUUCUUGCACUAGUGUCAGUGUCACGCAACGUGCCGAACGGGUGAUCGCUCAGGCAGCGCGAGGGAACAGGCAGGCAGGCGGAAAACAGGGCAAACUGGGGGUUUAUUGGGGAAUGCGGGUCGACAAACACCAGGUAACAUCAAUGACAGACAAAGGACUCAGGUAAGACAUGGACUGAAAUACACAGGACUGAUCAAAGUAACUAGACACAGCUGGGUACAAUCGGGAAAGAACACGUGGGUAAUCAGGGGAGCGUGGCACACAGGAGGAGCGGAUGAGCUGGGCAUGAAAGAAGGAGCGCCUAGGAGGAGGCGACGGACGGGACGAGGGAAACGAGACCUGGAACAGAAGAACAAAAUCAACGAGAGACGGGAAACAGGACCAAGGCACAAAACAGGGCAAGCGACAGGACGUAGGAGUUGAUAAAGGGCAGGGAAGGCGGACAGACAGACCAGGAAUGGGGUCAGAGAGGGAACAGGUGGAACAAACGGGCCAGGAGUGAAAGGAGGGAACACCGGGGAACAAGGAGCAAAGAAGGGUGGAACAGAGGGACGAGGAGCAAAAAACGAAGGGACAAAGACAGGAGGGGGAGUCGAGAAUGGAGGGGCGAAAGCAGGAGAGUAGGGCGAGAAGGAGGGGGAAUGCAGGGUCG